GACGAACGCUGGCGGCGUGCUUAACACAUGCAAGUCGAACGGAAAGGCCCUGCUUGCAGGGUACUCGAGUGGCGAACGGGUGAGUAACACGUGGGUGAUCUGCCCUGCACUUCGGGAUAAGCCUGGGAAACUGGGUCUAAUACCGGAGAGGAGCCAUCCUUAGUGUGGGGGUUGGUAAGAUUUUUCGGUGUAGGAUGAGCUCGCGGCCUAUCAGCUUGUUGGUGGGGUAAUGGCCUACCAAGGCGGCGACGGGUAGCCGGCCUGUGAGGGUGUACGGCCACAUAGGGAGUGAGAUACGGCCCAGAGUCCUACGGGAGGCAGCAGUGGGGAAUAUUGUACAAUGGGGGCAAGCCUGAUGCAGCGACGCCGCGUGGGGGGUGAAGGCCUUCGGGUUGUAAACUCCUCUCGCUAGGGACGAAGCGUUUUUGUGACGGUACCUAGAGAAGAAGCACCGGCUAACUACGUG
RNAcentral lists this ribosomal RNA (466 nucleotides) under uncultured bacterium. RNAcentral's name for it is "partial 16S ribosomal RNA". It matches the Rfam family "Bacterial small subunit ribosomal RNA", at positions 28 to 507 of the family's 1533-position model. The record is from RNAcentral.